This 366-nucleotide microRNA precursor is filed under the name Oryza sativa (Asian cultivated rice). RNAcentral's name for it is "miR5147 stem-loop (osa-MIR5147)". Lineage: Eukaryota; Viridiplantae; Streptophyta; Magnoliopsida; Poales; Poaceae. The record is from miRBase by way of RNAcentral.
CUAGUACUCGCUCCAUCCACGAGAGUUGUACAUAUAACUUUUUUCACAGUGACCAAGGAGAACACUAACUCCUCUGAUCCAUUUAUUCAUCUAUAUGGAUUCAUACGCAGUGUCGUUUCGUUUUUCCCGCAUAUCGCGCAUACGCAACCAACAGCCCCGCCCUCGUGCACUGGUGCCGCAUGCAUGCAGUUGCCUUGCCAAUUGCAUGUGCAUGCUCAACUGGUUGGCUGCUCGGGCCGCGUUAUCAAAUUAAUCCAUCCGCAGCCAUACGAUUACUGCUUCGAGGCACAAACAAAAUACGUUCAACUCUUGUGGAUAAACUGAGAAAUGUUAUGCGCACAACUCUUGUGGAUGGAGGGAGUAAUG